This 679-nucleotide ribosomal RNA is filed under the name Vibrio sp. SWB6. RNAcentral describes it as "bacterial SSU rRNA". It matches the Rfam family "Bacterial small subunit ribosomal RNA", at positions 61 to 718 of the family's 1533-position model. The record is from RNAcentral. Lineage: Bacteria; Pseudomonadati; Pseudomonadota; Gammaproteobacteria; Vibrionales; Vibrionaceae.
GUCGAGCGGAACGGCAGUAUUGAAGCUUCGGUGGAUUUACUGGACGUCGAGCGGCGGACGGGUGAGUAACGGCUGGGAACCUGCCCUGACGAGGGGGAUAACCGUUGGAAACGACGGCUAAUACCGCAUAAUGUCUACGGACCAAAGGUGGCCUCUACAUGUAAGCUAUCGCGUUGGGAUGGGCCCAGUUAGGAUUAGCUAGUUGGUAAGGUAACGGCUUACCAAGGCGACGAUCCUUAGCUGGUUUGAGAGGAUGAUCAGCCACACUGGGACUGAGACACGGCCCAGACUCCUACGGGAGGCAGCAGUGGGGAAUAUUGCACAAUGGGGGAGACCCUGAUGCAGCCAUGCCGCGUGUGUGAAGAAGGCCUUCGGGUUGUAAAGCACUUUCAGCAGUGAGGAAGGUAGUGUACUUAAUACGUGCAUUGCUUGACGUUAGCUGCAGAAGAAGCACCGGCUAACUCCGUGCCAGCAGCCGCGGUAAUACGGAGGGUGCGAGCGUUAAUCGGAAUUACUGGGCGUAAAGCGCAUGCAGGCGGUUUGUUAAGUCAGAUGUGAAAGCCCGGGGCUCAACCUCGGAACCGCAUUUGAAACUGGCAGGCUAGAGUCUUGUAGAGGGGGGUAGAAUUUCAGGUGUAGCGGUGAAAUGCGUAGAGAUCUGAAGGAAUACCAGUGGCGA